Molecule: ribosomal RNA, 2902 nt
Filed under: Klebsiella pneumoniae
Lineage: Bacteria; Pseudomonadati; Pseudomonadota; Gammaproteobacteria; Enterobacterales; Enterobacteriaceae
Description: 23S ribosomal RNA
Rfam family: Bacterial large subunit ribosomal RNA
Source: RNAcentral
GGUUAAGCGACUAAGCGUACACGGUGGAUGCCCUGGCAGUCAGAGGCGAUGAAGGACGUGCUAAUCUGCGAAAAGCGUCGGUAAGGUGAUAUGAACCGUUAUAGCCGGCGAUGUCCGAAUGGGGAAACCCAGUGCAAUUCGUUGCACUAUCGUUAACUGAAUACAUAGGUUAACGAGGCGAACCGGGGGAACUGAAACAUCUAAGUACCCCGAGGAAAAGAAAUCAACCGAGAUUCCCCCAGUAGCGGCGAGCGAACGGGGAGCAGCCCAGAGUCUGAAUCAGCUUGUGUGUUAGUGGAACGGUCUGGAAAGUCCGACGGUACAGGGUGAUAGUCCCGUACACCAAAAUGCACAGGCUGUGAACUCGAAGAGUAGGGCGGGACACGUGGUAUCCUGUCUGAAUAUGGGGGGACCAUCCUCCAAGGCUAAAUACUCCUGACUGACCGAUAGUGAACCAGUACCGUGAGGGAAAGGCGAAAAGAACCCCGGCGAGGGGAGUGAAAAAGAACCUGAAACCGUGUACGUACAAGCAGUGGGAGCACCUUCGGGUGUGACUGCGUACCUUUUGUAUAAUGGGUCAGCGACUUAUAUUCUGUAGCAAGGUUAACCGUAUAGGGGAGCCGCAGGGAAACCGAGUCUUAACUGGGCGUUAAGUUGCAGGGUAUAGACCCGAAACCCGGUGAUCUAGCCAUGGGCAGGUUGAAGGUUGGGUAACACUAACUGGAGGACCGAACCGACUAAUGUUGAAAAAUUAGCGGAUGACUUGUGGCUGGGGGUGAAAGGCCAAUCAAACCGGGAGAUAGCUGGUUCUCCCCGAAAGCUAUUUAGGUAGCGCCUCGUGAAUUCAUCUUCGGGGGUAGAGCACUGUUUCGGCUAGGGGGUCAUCCCGACUUACCAACCCGAUGCAAACUACGAAUACCGAAGAAUGUUAUCACGGGAGACACACGGCGGGUGCUAACGUCCGUCGUGAAGAGGGAAACAACCCAGACCGCCAGCUAAGGUCCCAAAGUCAUGGUUAAGUGGGAAACGAUGUGGGAAGGCACAGACAGCCAGGAUGUUGGCUUAGAAGCAGCCAUCAUUUAAAGAAAGCGUAAUAGCUCACUGGUCGAGUCGGCCUGCGCGGAAGAUGUAACGGGGCUAAACCAUGCACCGAAGCUGCGGCAGCGACACUAUGUGUUGUUGGGUAGGGGAGCGUUCUGUAAGCCUGCGAAGGUGACCUGUGAGGGUUGCUGGAGGUAUCAGAAGUGCGAAUGCUGACAUAAGUAACGAUAAAGCGGGUGAAAAGCCCGCUCGCCGGAAGACCAAGGGUUCCUGUCCAACGUUAAUCGGGGCAGGGUGAGUCGACCCCUAAGGCGAGGCCGAAAGGCGUAGUCGAUGGGAAACAGGUUAAUAUUCCUGUACUUGGUGUUACUGCGAAGGGGGGACGGAGAAGGCUAUGUUAGCCGGGCGACGGUUGUCCCGGUUUAAGCAUGUAGGCUGGUUGUCCAGGCAAAUCCGGAUAAUCAAGGCUGAGGUGUGAUGACGAGGCACUACGGUGCUGAAGUAACAAAUGCCCUGCUUCCAGGAAAAGCCUCUAAGCAUCAGGUAACAUUAAAUCGUACCCCAAACCGACACAGGUGGUCAGGUAGAGAAUACCAAGGCGCUUGAGAGAACUCGGGUGAAGGAACUAGGCAAAAUGGUGCCGUAACUUCGGGAGAAGGCACGCUGGUGUGUAGGUGAAGUCCCUGCGGAUGGAGCUGAGACCAGUCGAAGAUACCAGCUGGCUGCAACUGUUUAUUAAAAACACAGCACUGUGCAAACACGAAAGUGGACGUAUACGGUGUGACGCCUGCCCGGUGCCGGAAGGUUAAUUGAUGGGGUUAUCCGUAAGGAGAAGCUCUUGAUCGAAGCCCCGGUAAACGGCGGCCGUAACUAUAACGGUCCUAAGGUAGCGAAAUUCCUUGUCGGGUAAGUUCCGACCUGCACGAAUGGCGUAAUGAUGGCCAGGCUGUCUCCACCCGAGACUCAGUGAAAUUGAACUCGCUGUGAAGAUGCAGUGUACCCGCGGCAAGACGGAAAGACCCCGUGAACCUUUACUAUAGCUUGACACUGAACAUUGAGCCUUGAUGUGUAGGAUAGGUGGGAGGCUUUGAAGCGUGGACGCCAGUCUGCGUGGAGCCAACCUUGAAAUACCACCCUUUAAUGUUUGAUGUUCUAACGUUGGCCCCUUACCGGGGUUGCGGACAGUGUCUGGUGGGUAGUUUGACUGGGGCGGUCUCCUCCCAAAGCGUAACGGAGGAGCACGAAGGUUAGCUAAUCCUGGUCGGACAUCAGGAGGUUAGUGCAAUGGCAUAAGCUAGCUUGACUGCGAGCGUGACGGCGCGAGCAGGUGCGAAAGCAGGUCAUAGUGAUCCGGUGGUUCUGAAUGGAAGGGCCAUCGCUCAACGGAUAAAAGGUACUCCGGGGAUAACAGGCUGAUACCGCCCAAGAGUUCAUAUCGACGGCGGUGUUUGGCACCUCGAUGUCGGCUCAUCACAUCCUGGGGCUGAAGUAGGUCCCAAGGGUAUGGCUGUUCGCCAUUUAAAGUGGUACGCGAGCUGGGUUUAGAACGUCGUGAGACAGUUCGGUCCCUAUCUGCCGUGGGCGCUGGAGAAUUGAGGGGGGCUGCUCCUAGUACGAGAGGACCGGAGUGGACGCAUCACUGGUGUUCGGGUUGUCAUGCCAAUGGCACUGCCCGGUAGCUAAAUGCGGAAGAGAUAAGUGCUGAAAGCAUCUAAGCACGAAACUUGCCCCGAGAUGAGUUCUCCCUGAGACUUUAAGUCUCCUGAAGGAACGUUGAAGACGACGACGUUGAUAGGCCGGGUGUGUAAGCGCAGCGAUGCGUUGAGCUAACCGGUACUAAUGAACCGUGAGGCUUAACCUU